This is a non-coding RNA of Misgurnus anguillicaudatus (oriental weatherfish), 152 nucleotides long. The record is from RefSeq and is a predicted model, not a curated record. NCBI's taxonomy places the organism in Eukaryota, Metazoa, Chordata, Actinopteri, Cypriniformes, Cobitidae.
GUCAGACUAGUUCUAGUUAGUUGUUUAUGGGAAGCCAUCAAGCCCUCAUGGUAGCUCUGCUAAUCUUAAUUCAUCUGCUACAUUUCAUGUCCUUUCGAAGGCAUUGUUGUUUUACCCUACUUCCAGUCAGCCAUUAAACAAAGUGAAUUUGA